Chenopodium quinoa (quinoa) is the source of this 1046-nucleotide long non-coding RNA. RefSeq lists it as uncharacterized. Lineage: Eukaryota; Viridiplantae; Streptophyta; Magnoliopsida; Caryophyllales; Amaranthaceae. The transcript has 4 exons. The record is from RefSeq and is a predicted model, not a curated record.
GGUUUCUUAUUUUUUAUUUAUUAAAUUAAAAAAAAAUGAAAAUUUAGAAUUGGUAAUUUAAUUAAGUGCAAAACUCUGUAAUAACUCUUUCAUUUACUUCAUUGAUAUUCACGUACGCUAAUUUACCGCCACUACUACAAUCACCCUCCCAUCUUCCUCCAGUACCUUCAAUUACAUACGAUUAAGCUUCCCUCCACCGCCAUCGCAACCGCAAAAGCCCUUGCCCAUCACAAAAGCCAUUGCAAUUUCGCUUAUCUGCCACCAUAGCCACUUUAAUUUGUUCUGGUUUUUGUGUCGUUUGAACUACUGCCGGCACCGCCACUGAAGCCACCGAAACCACCAACGCCACUGGUGCUUUCAUAAACGUGCAUGCUUUAGUCUCUAACUCGGUUGAUCAAGUGGUGAUGCCAGCAGCUCUUAUGCCAUGUCCAACCUCAGAGUUCACGUAUGUGUCUCAAGCUAAGGGUAGUUUUGCUCCCUGGCCAAGUCACUUGAUUUUUCCAAUGAUGAAGGAGGAUGAACAAACAGCAAAACUACUUGAUCAACCCCUGACUACUCCAUCCCUGAAACACCAUCAUCACAAGCAUCCACUACUCAUAAGGGGAAACAUACUCCAUGUUUCUGGGGCAAGUUAACAGAUUUUGUAGCCAACUUUGAAGGCUACUUUAGGAUUAUCAGCCUGUUAGAAAUGCAUUAUUUAUUUGCCCUGGAAAUGGGCUGGAAGUUUGAUUGAGUCUGAACCACUGCAUUAUAUGGAUGUGAGAAUGAUCAUAUCAAUAAUUUUGGUCAAACUAACUUCCGGAAGUUGUACACAUAACUAACAUUAGUUAUCUUAAGGCCUUUAUGAUUGUUCAUUAAGAAGUUGGUCAUACAUUCUAUAAUAGCAGUUAAGAACCCAGAAGCUUUUAAUUGCUCAACUUUGUUUGUGUUGGCUAUAUUCUGAUUGUACUAUAAUGGGUAUCCGGCAUAUGACGACAUGAAUAAGUAAAAGAUGCAGGCACAUAAAUAUUGUGGUUUUGAAAAUUCAGUCAUUACAACUUUAGUCA